GCGAACAGGAUUAGAUACCCUGGUAGUCCACGCUGUAAACGUUGGGCGCUAGGUGUGGGGUCCUUCCACGGAUUCUGUGCCGCAGCUAACGCAUUAAGCGCCCCGCCUGGGGAGUACGGCCGCAAGGCUAAAACUCAAAGGAAUUGACGGGGACCCGCACAAGCGGUGGAGCAUGUGGUUUAAUUCGAAGCAACGCGAAGAACCUUACCAAAUCUUGACAUCCUUUGACAACUCUAGAGAUAGAGCCUUCCCCUUCGGGGGACAAAGUGACAGGUGGUGCAUGGUUGUCGUCAGCUCGUGUCGUGAGAUGUUGGGUUAAGUCCCGCAACGAGCGCAACCCUUAAGCUUAGUUGCCAUCAUUAAGUUGGGCACUCUAAGUUGACUGCCGGUGACAAACCGGAGGAAGGUGGGGAUGACGUCAAAUCAUCAUGCCCCUUAUGAUUUGGGCUACACACGUGCUACAAUGGACAAUACAAAGGGCAGCGAAACCGCGAGGUCAAGCAAAUCCCAUAAAGUUGUUCUCAGUUCGGAUUGUAGUCUGCAACUCGACUACAUGAAGCUGGAAUCGCUAGUAAUCGUAGAUCAGCAUGCUACGGUGAAUACGUUCCCGGGUCUUGUACACACCGCCCGUCACACCACGAGAGUUUGUAACACCCGAAGCCGGUGGAGUAACCUUUUAGGAGCUAGCCGUCGAAGGUGGGACAAAUGAUUGGGGUGAAGUCGUAACAAGGUAGCCGUAUCGGAAGGUGCGGCUGGAUCACCUCCUUUCUAAGGA
This 775-nucleotide ribosomal RNA is filed under the name Escherichia coli. Its description in RNAcentral is "bacterial SSU rRNA". It matches the Rfam family "Bacterial small subunit ribosomal RNA", at positions 768 to 1533 of the family's 1533-position model. The record is from RNAcentral. Lineage: Bacteria; Pseudomonadati; Pseudomonadota; Gammaproteobacteria; Enterobacterales; Enterobacteriaceae.